RNAcentral lists this ribosomal RNA (426 nucleotides) under uncultured bacterium. RNAcentral's name for it is "bacterial SSU rRNA". It matches the Rfam family "Bacterial small subunit ribosomal RNA", at positions 355 to 772 of the family's 1533-position model. The record is from RNAcentral.
UGGGGAAUUGUUCGCAACGGGCGCAAGCCUGACGACGCAACGCCGCGUGGAGGACGAAGAUCUUCGGGUCGUAAACUCCUGUCGAGCGGGAAGAAACCCGCGGGGAUGAAUAAUCCUCGUGGCUGACGGUACCGCUCAAGGAAGCCCCGGCUAACUCCGUGCCAGCAGCCGCGGUAAUACGGGGGGGGCAAGCGUUGUUCGGAAUUACUGGGCGUAAAGGGCCAGUAGGCGGCCAACUAAGUCGGAUGUGAAAUCCCCAGGCUCAACCUGGGAACUGCAUCCGAUACUGGAUGGCUUGAAUUCGGGAGAGGGAUGCAGAAUUCCAGGUGUAGCGGUGAAAUGCGUAGAUAUCUGGAGGAAUACCGGUGGCGAAGGCGGCAUCCUGGACCGACAUUGACGCUGAACGGCGAAAGCUAGGGGAGCAAA